UUACAAACUUGGACGCCGGGA
RNAcentral lists this unclassified non-coding RNA (21 nucleotides) under Mus musculus (house mouse). Its description in RNAcentral is "oocyte_clustered_small_RNA5216". The record is from RNAcentral. Lineage: Eukaryota; Metazoa; Chordata; Mammalia; Rodentia; Muridae.